This 213-nucleotide ribosomal RNA is filed under the name uncultured Desulfocapsa sp. RNAcentral's name for it is "partial 16S ribosomal RNA". It matches the Rfam family "Bacterial small subunit ribosomal RNA", at positions 1174 to 1382 of the family's 1533-position model. The record is from RNAcentral. Lineage: Bacteria; Pseudomonadati; Thermodesulfobacteriota; Desulfobulbia; Desulfobulbales; Desulfocapsaceae.
UGGGGAUGACGUCAAGUCCUCAUGGCCUUUAUGACCAGGGCUACACACGUACUACAAUGGCCGGUACAAAGGGCAGCGACACAGCGAUGUGAAAGCCAAAUCCCGAAAAGACCGGUCUCAGUCCGGAUUGGAGUCUGCAACUCCGACUCCAUGAAGUUGGAAUCGCUAGUAAUCGUGGAUCAGCAUGUCACGGUGAAUACGUUCCCGGGUCUU